Molecule: non-coding RNA, 23 nt
Filed under: Arabidopsis thaliana (thale cress)
Lineage: Eukaryota; Viridiplantae; Streptophyta; Magnoliopsida; Brassicales; Brassicaceae
Also listed under: 1 other name
Source: RNAcentral
UUAGACCGUCGUGAGACAGGUUA